Molecule: RNA transcript, 1109 nt
Organism: Arabidopsis lyrata subsp. lyrata
Lineage: Eukaryota; Viridiplantae; Streptophyta; Magnoliopsida; Brassicales; Brassicaceae
Gene name: protein yippee-like At3g08990
Exons: 7
Source: RefSeq, a predicted model, not a curated record
UCAAUUUUCUUUUUCUCGAUUUUCUCUGUCGUACGAAUUUUUUCUCGUCUUCGCUGGAAAUUUUCUGGGGUAUUUUCCGUUUCUCUGUCCUACUUUUUUUUUUCCAUUUUCCACUCGGCGGUCUUGCGAACUACGCAAGUUUUCUUAGUUGCUACUAUUUCGUUACCUUUUUUUUUUGACAUUUUGAUCGAAAGCUUUUUCUCGAGAUUAACGCUCUCUCCUUUUUUUUUUUUUUUUUUUCCAUUUUAUACCAAUUUAAUGUUGUAUUUCGUGAAACGCAAACUAUUUUCUGGUUGGUGGAUUUGUUCGAAAUGGGAAGACUAUUUGUGAUAGACCUCGAAGGACUGGUUUAUAGCUGCAAGCAUUGUCAGACACAUUUCGCAGUUACUAAUGACAUUAUCUCAAAGUCAUUUCACUGCAAGCACGGAAGGGCUUAUCUUUUCGACAAUGUUGUCAAUGUGACGGUUGGAGAGAAGGAGCAUCGCGUCAUGCUGACUGGUUGGCACACCGUAGCUGACAUCUUCUGUGUUAGCUGUGGCUCUCUUGUUGGCUGGAAAUACGAAAUCGCUUACGACAAGUCUCAGAAGUACAAGGAAGGAAAAUUCAUCAUAGAAAGGUUUAAGGUGCUUGGGCCCGAUGGAGGAGGAUACGACAUGAACCACGACGAGCCUAUGACUGGAAGCGAUGAAGAAUAAAAAUAUGGUAUAUCUCUUAUUUUAACGACCCAUUGGAAAUACUUGGCAAGUGGUCAAUGCUUCGUAUAGACUAUCGGCUACCGGCAAACUCGCCGGGAAGAAAAAUCAACAUUUUUUCGGCUUUAACCACAUAACUUUCAGCAACCAUAAAUCUUUUGGAGCCAUAAGAGCACAAGUAGUGUUUUCGUAAUUACUAAAUAGCAUGUUCGUGGGUAAAGACUGAGCACGUGUCCGGUGGGAUCUUUGUUUAGAUCAUCUGCGUUUUGAACCCGAUGCUUCGUGUUCUGUUCAAACUUUCAAAACCCCAUAUUCAAUUAUUUAAGAGGAAAAAAACAAGAGAUAUGGUACGACCAAGGGUUGUCUGGUUUGAAUUCGGAAUUUUAAAAAAUUGAACUAAUUAUAUAAAAAAAAAAA